AAAAAUCAUAAGAAAAGUUUAAAAAGAGUAAAAUUCUGAUGACUUUUUCCUAAGUCAGAUCCCCAGCAUUGUUUGACACAAAAUGAAGCAAAAGCCACAUCUGUUGUAUCUACACUACCUCUCAUCUGCAUAUCUCUACAAAUCUCUGAAAGAAACUAGAAUUCAAGUAUCUUCCAAAUAGUAAAGGAUUUUUUUCAGGCAGGUACUUUUUCCCCAUUGAAGUAUUCCUUUGGCAAUAUUUUAAGAUAGUUCUUAAGAAUAUUUUUCAUAAAAUAUUUUCUAUAAUUUUUUUUGUUCUUGCUUUAAAAGAGUAAUUUUUUUUCAAGUUUCUGUGGGUUUUUUUCCCUGUUUGACAGUGAAUGACAGUGAUAGGAGGAAACCAAUUCCAGGAACUAAUAGGCCAAUUUUCUGACUUUGUUUUGAGCAUAUCCUAUGCAUAUUUCUGCUUCAAAUGGAAGAGAAUAGUCUUGAGCCUGCAGUGGGAUUUGCUAGGCAUACACACUGCCUGUUGCUUUCAGAGAGUUGUGUGUAUGUUCAUGUACUGCCUCCAGGUUCAGACUCUGCCGUAUGUAGAGACAGGCUUUCAUCAUGUGAUUGACUUUUCAAGUCAAAAUGUUGCUUUCUAUUCACAUACUUAAUUUCUGACUGCAUUACAUGCAUAAUGCAAUAAGCUUUGUAGAUGCAUUUGGAAUUUCAACUGAUAGGUAUGAAUCAUGUUGGAUUUUUUUCCCACUUCUAAGAAAAGGAGCAACAUCAAAAUUCAGUAUUUCCCUUCAAAGUCUGUUCUUUAAAAGUGGUAUUACCAUAAAUAAAAACAGUCUUAUAGUAUUCUUCUGUACAAACUUUUACUUCACAAAUUGCUGCCAACUCCUUUUUUAUUUCACAGAAGCAUAGUGUGAAUACAGGGAGCUCACAGCCUGUUUGUGGAUGAUAGACAUCAAAUAUAAAACCUUAUGGAGAAUAUAUUAACUCUCGGGAUUGGUUUACUCCAUCAGCUAUUACGAAAACCACAGAGGCUGAAUCGUAGAACUGCACAUUCAUUUAUCUAAAGUUACAGUACAAGCCAUAAUACUCUCUGAUGUCACUAUUCAGAGAGUGAAAGAAAAUGUCUGGUUUCUGCUCAGGUGUCACUAGGAAAGAUAUAUUAUGUGUGGGGAAGGAGCACUUUUUGCUUUUACUAUGUCCUUCUGGCUAUUAAUGUGAUGUAUAAAAUUAGUGAAAGAGAAGGAUUCUAUCAUUUUGUACUAAGGCUUAACACUGUGAUAUAAAAAGAUGGUGAGAAAGACUGGUGAGGCACUGUCAAGGGAAAAGUAUAAUUCAAGCCCAAGGUGAGCACUUUCUCCUCUUCUGAGAUACUUGAGUGAAAGUGAGAAAUUAUGCCAACAUACAUGAGAUACUGGGUUUGCUAUAUGUGCUACCCUCCAGGUGAACUAGAAUAAAUUUAAUUUUACUUUAGAAUUGAUCGAAAAUGAAUAUUCUGGGUCUUUUAAUCAUGUUAAUUGUUGUUAGUUUCAAUAAGCAAAGUAUCAAAGUUAAUAAUAUAGGUAAACCUUGUAAUAUAAUUAUAGUUGCACAUUUUGUUGUUCUAUUAGACAUAAUAGCCAGCAAUUAAGGUGUUUUUCAUCUUUGUGAAAUUCAUGGGCAAAUUAUGACUAUAACAUGGCACAGUUUUAAUGAAAUCUUUGAGAUCAAUCUGUAAAUAUAUACUGUACAUGACUGCUAGUAACUAUGAUACACAUUUUCAGAACUGAAAAUUCAUGCAACAUUUUUCUGUGUUUGCAUAAGGAAUGUUAUGUUUCUAUCCUAUCGCAGUUUAAUGACUGGGAAGAAAGACUCAAGCAAUGACAUUGUCACCGUUUCUUUUCUCAUUCCCAGGGGAGGAAACCAGAGUCUUAGAUAACAGCAUGUCACAGAGUUCUUCAGAGAGUUUUUACAUUCAGAUAAAAAGGACGUAAAAUCUGUAAGGUACAAAAGCACAAUGCAUGGAGAAAAGGACUGGUGAUCUUACACCUGGGGGAAAUUUGUUUCAGAAAAAUAUGCAUUAAAAUUAAACCUCAGUUAAUUUUCACUAUAAUUAUUAGACUGUGUUCCAAUUCUAUACUAUAACACAGUACUAAACAUAAGUGAACGGAUCUUAAACAUUAUCAAACUAUAUGUGCAUAUGGACAUGUACCUAGAUGUCUAUAUGGACAUAUGCGUGUGUAUAUACACGUACUGAGUAUAUAUCUACGCACACAUUCAUAUGCUGAUGUGUUAAAGGAAUAAGCCAAUAGUAGUUUUGUUUCUACCAUCAAGCAGUGUAUGAAUAUAUUUUUGAGAAAAAAAAAGAUUAAUGUAUUUAAAAGAAACCAACUUACUAUACAGGGUAACUGGGCAUUUCUAUAUCAGCCAAUCAAUGCUUAUAAUUCGUAUGGAGCAUUGCACCAUUUGACAUGAUGAUAGUACUGUACCUCCUAGCAUCUGAAAUUAGACUACUCCUCACAUUGCUUGCCUAUUUCUUCUCUCUCUUUUUGUAACAGCAUUGUCCACUAGUAAGUUUUCAAAACCAACAAAUUCCUUAGGGAACCAAGAAAAAAAGGCAAAAAUAUUAACUAUUUCUAGAAAAUAAUCUAGGGUGGGAUGGCCAGGGUACAAUACAUCAGUAGUGAUCAUAACAUUUUGCUAUGUGUACAUAGAACAUACAAUGUGAGCAACCAUAACUUAAGCUGAACGUGUGUAAAUAUUAUCAGAUUUCUUAAACAUUUUUAACUUCUAAUUUGUACUUUAUGGUAAGGCAAAAAGCUAAUUCUACUUAUGGUUUAGGUUCAUGUGUCCUAAAAUUAUGUAAAUAAUUCAAUAAGCUGUAAAUGAGCAGUCAAUAGAUACAGUAAUUGUUUAGUGACAUUUUUUUACUAAGUACAAUAAUAGCAGUGCUCUAGCAGAGUAAUUUAAACACCCUUUUGCAUAAACAGAUUUGGAUUCCAGAUAUAAAAAAAGUACAGAAAGUACUGUAGUGUAAAAUAACCACUGCAGCCACUGCUAGCACAGUUGAAUUUCUUGUAUGGUUAAAAUGCUUGGGCAAUAGAAGGUUGUAACUUGGCACUCAGUACUCAGAUUAGCAUAUACAAACAGGGCCGGGUUUUCACUUACAAUGAGGCACCUUCAUGUUGCUCCAGUGAGUGGAGAGGUGAAGGAAUCCAAUGUAAGUGAGAAUUCAGCUGUUGGUGAUUUCAUUACAGAAAGCCUGCAUAUUGCGUCUGUCUGUUUCUGAAAUCUGUAUCUCUUACGGUAUCUAAUAGGAGACUUAUAUUUUUCUUUACAAAAAAAGAAAAAAAAGGAUGUUUGUCAUUAGAUAGCAUAGUCCCCCAAAGCCAAAGAAUCUUCACUCCAGAAAUUGUUUAAAAAGGAAAUCUAAUAAGUCACUGCUUAACACCAAAGGUAAAGCUUAAUAAAAUGCACUAGGAACUUUGUCGAAAUUUUUAGGAAGCAAAUGGAAUGUCGAUCAAAAAGACUGCCCUAUUCUACUUUGUAAAAAUAGUAAUAAAUACAAAUUAAUAUAAAAAUUGAAAUAGAUCAUCUCGACAAGAAUAUGCAACACUAACAUUUCAUAAGUAUAAAAUUUUCUUUGUAAGUGCUUUGAGAAAAAAUGAAACUUAACUGAUGAAAAAUCUCACCUCUACUUUCAUACUAAGGGUUGUAUUUUUUUAAUGUUUUUCAGACAUGAGGUCAUCUAUUCCAAUUUGAUAACAUUUUGUAUGUUUUCACUGUCAGUGUCAUUUGACAGAUACUCACCAGGCUGUAUUGUUCAUAGUCUGUCCUGUUACUUUCAGUUGAAGACAAAAAGAGCAUUUGAAACAUGAUUAAUUCUAACGAACCAAGUAUGAUUUGACUUCUAUCACGUUUUUAUUUGCAUGGGUGUUUAAAUGGUUCUGUUAGUACUGUCUUUGCACAGUUCUGAUUUAUCUUUUUUUACUUAGUACUAUUUACUUCAUAAUGUAGUAAUCAUCAGCCUUACUAAUGACCUUGUAGCCUUUCUUAUAUGCACAUAAUGCACAUUUUCCAAUGGCUAGAAAAUGCAAAAUACUAGUGGAUAUCAUUGCAUCAGAUCUUCAUGUCUUUCUCAAAAGGACUGCUAACCUCUGGGAUAUAUGAGGUAGUAAAAUGAUGAUUGUAAAUGAGUAGCACAUAAGAGAUAUUUUCUUGAAUUUAAAAUUAUUGCAGCCAGUUUCAGCAUGUAAAUAUAUAAUAAUGUUGGCUAGUGUGUAAUUCUUGAACUAAAAAAAUAUAAAUAAAGAAAACCGAAAAGA
Long non-coding RNA from Strigops habroptila (Kakapo), 4286 nucleotides. NCBI's taxonomy places the organism in Eukaryota, Metazoa, Chordata, Aves, Psittaciformes, Psittacidae. The record is from Ensembl.